GAUGAACGCUGGCGGCGUGCCUAAUACAUGCAAGUCGAGCGAACAGACGAGGAGCUUGCUCCUCUGACGUUAGCGGCGGACGGGUGAGUAACACGUGGAUAACCUACCUAUAAGACUGGGAUAACUUCGGGAAACCGGAGCUAAUACCGGAUAAUAUAUUGAACCGCAUGGUUCAAUAGUGAAAGACGGUUUUGCUGUCACUUAUAGAUGGAUCCGCGCCGCAUUAGCUAGUUGGUAAGGUAACGGCUUACCACGGCGACGAUGCGUACCCGACCUGGGAGGGUGAUCGGCCACACUGGAACUGAGACACGGUCCAUACUCCUACGAGAGGCAGCAGUAGGGAAUCUUCCGCAACAGGCGAAAGCCUGACGGAGCAACGCCGCGUGAGUGAUGAAGGUGUUCGGAUCGUAAAACUCUGUUAUUAGGGAAGAACAAAUGUGUAAGUAACUAUGCACGUCUUGACGGUACCUAAUCAGAAAGCCACGGCUAACUACGUG
RNAcentral lists this ribosomal RNA (497 nucleotides) under uncultured bacterium. Its description in RNAcentral is "partial 16S ribosomal RNA". It matches the Rfam family "Bacterial small subunit ribosomal RNA", at positions 28 to 507 of the family's 1533-position model. The record is from RNAcentral.